UUGAAAGAUUCUAUUAAGGCUUCUCCAAAUUCUCAAAGUGAAAGGCUUAUGUGUUUUAAAAUUACAACAACAUACGGAUGAGGAUUAUGACAAAGUGGGAUGUCUUAGUUCAUUUUGGGGUAAAGUUGAACAAGGUCUCUAUUACUAAGUUACUAUAGCGUUGUUUGCUAAAGGACCAGCAACGUAAUUUAAUAAUGGCAAGAUGAACAACAUGUCAUUGAGGGCAGAAACAUUUUGCUAGAUUAACGUGUGUUGGAAGGGCUGUCUUUGUGGUUACUAAAGAAAGCCAACACAGGUUCUAUCUACCAGCCUCGAGACUAGUUGCGUGGCUGCUGCUUCAGGAGACUUCAAGGUACAUAUGCCGCCUCCGCAGAUCUCGGAGUCCCUUCUAUCCCCUUGUGUUGAUUUUCCCCUUGUUUUCUUCAAACAUAAAUGUAUAGAGCAGUUAGAAACUCUUAGAAGCUUGUGACAUUGCGACAUUCUGGGUUUUGGGAAAAAUGAUUAUUGUAUAUGCCGAGCGGCAUCGUUUCUGCUUAUUAACUAUAUUCGUUAGUUGUUA
This is a long non-coding RNA of Nicotiana attenuata, 559 nucleotides long. RefSeq lists it as uncharacterized. The record is from RefSeq and is a predicted model, not a curated record. The transcript is spliced from 3 exons. Lineage: Eukaryota; Viridiplantae; Streptophyta; Magnoliopsida; Solanales; Solanaceae.